RNAcentral lists this transfer RNA (74 nucleotides) under Pseudomonadota bacterium. Its description in RNAcentral is "tRNA-Pro". It matches the Rfam family "tRNA". Rfam says of the family: Transfer RNA (tRNA) molecules are approximately 80 nucleotides in length. Their secondary structure includes four short double-helical elements and three loops (D, anti-codon, and T loops). RNAcentral also lists the same sequence under 4 other names. The record is from RNAcentral. Lineage: Bacteria; Pseudomonadati; Pseudomonadota.
CGGGGCGUAGCGCAGUCCGGUAGCGCACCUGCUUCGGGAGCAGGGGGUCGGAGGUUCAAAUCCUCUCGCCCCGA